GAACGCACCUUGCGCCCUUUGGCUAUUCCGAAGGGCAUGCCUGUUUGAGUAUCACGAACACCUCAACUCUCAUGGCUUUGCCAUGAUGAGCUUGGACUUUGGGGGUCUUGCUGGCCUGUGGUCGGCUCCUCUCAAAUGAAUCAGCUUGCCAGUGUUUGGUGGCAUCACGGGUGUGAUAACUAUCUACGCUUGUGGUUUUCCACCAGGCAACCUUCAGUGAUGAAGGUUCGCUGGGGCUCAUAAAAUGUCUCUCCUCAGCGAGGACAGCUCUUUGAACGUUUGAUCUCAAAUCAGGUAGGACUACCCGCUGAACUUA
Molecule: unclassified non-coding RNA, 316 nt
Filed under: uncultured Thelephoraceae
Lineage: Eukaryota; Fungi; Basidiomycota; Agaricomycetes; Thelephorales; Thelephoraceae
Description: sequence contains 5.8S rRNA gene
Source: RNAcentral